Molecule: ribosomal RNA, 484 nt
Filed under: uncultured bacterium
Lineage: Bacteria
Description: partial 16S ribosomal RNA
Rfam family: Bacterial small subunit ribosomal RNA
Source: RNAcentral
AUUGAACGCUGGCGGCAGGCCUAACACAUGCAAGUCGAGCGGAUGAAGGGAGCUUGCUCCUGGAUUCAGCGGCGGACGGGUGAGUAAUGCCUAGGAAUCUGCCUGGUAGUGGGGGAUAACGUCCGGAAACGGGCGCUAAUACCGCAUACGUCCUGAGGGAGAAAGUGGGGGAUCUUCGGACCUCACGCUAUCAGAUGAGCCUAGGGCGGAUUAGCUAGUUGGUGGGGUAAAGGCCUACCAAGGCGACGCUCCGUAACUGGUCUGAGAGGAUGAUCAGUCACACUGGAACUGAGACACGGUCCAGACUCCUACGGGAGGCAGCAGUGGGGAAUAUUGGACAAUGCGCGAAAGCCUGAUCCAGCCAUGCCGCGUGUGUGCAGGAGGUCUUCGGAUUGUAAAGCACUUUUAGUUGGGAGGAAGGGCAGUAAGUUAAUCCCUUGCUGUUUUGACGUUACCAACAGAAUAAGCACCGGCUAACUUCGUG